GACGAACGCUGGCGGCGUGCUUAACACAUGCAAGUCGAACGGAAAGGCCCUGCUUUUGUGGGGUGCUCGAAUGGCGAACGGGUGAGUAACAAGUGAGUAACCUGCCCUUGACUUUGGGAUAACUUCAGGAAACUGGGGCUAAUACCGGAUAGGAGCUCCUGCUGCAUGGUGGGGGUUGGAAAGUUUCGGUGGUUGGGGAUGGACUCGCGGCUUAUCAGCUUGUUGGUGGGGUAGUGGCUUACCAAGGCUUUGACGGGUAGACGGCCUGAGAGGGUGACCGGCCACAUUGGGACUGAGAUGCGGCCCAGACUCCUACGGGAGGCAGCGGUGGGGAAUAUUGCACAAUGGGCGGAAGCCUGAUGCAGCAACGCCGCGUGCGGGAUGACGGCCUUCGGGUUGUAAACCGCUUUCGCCUGUGACGAAGCGUGAGUGACGGUAAUGGGUAAAGAAGCACCGGCUAACUACGUG
RNAcentral lists this ribosomal RNA (468 nucleotides) under uncultured bacterium. RNAcentral describes it as "partial 16S ribosomal RNA". It matches the Rfam family "Bacterial small subunit ribosomal RNA", at positions 28 to 507 of the family's 1533-position model. The record is from RNAcentral.